GGCGGUGUAGCUCAGCGGUUAGAGCAGGGUCUUCAUAAGGCCAAGGUCACAGGUUCAAGUCCUGUCACCGCUA
This 73-nucleotide transfer RNA is filed under the name Planctomycetota bacterium. Its description in RNAcentral is "Planctomycetes bacterium (freshwater metagenome) tRNA-Met". It matches the Rfam family "tRNA". Rfam says of the family: Transfer RNA (tRNA) molecules are approximately 80 nucleotides in length. Their secondary structure includes four short double-helical elements and three loops (D, anti-codon, and T loops). The record is from RNAcentral. Lineage: Bacteria; Pseudomonadati; Planctomycetota.